UAUUGAGAAUAGUUGCCGAAUUAAGGAACAAUAGUUUCAAAUUUCACUACGAUAUUAGUUCCGUUCAAAAUGGCUGCCUGUCUUUAUUGAUUAGAAUAAUGUCGUCGUAAAGUGAUUCAUAUUAUUUAGUACGUUACAUUUGAAGAAUGUUAUUGUUAUUCUUUUAGGUAACGAUGCAAAGGACUUUUAAACCAAAGAAAUGUUUAUUGUGAGGGCUCUAGAGACGAUACUCAGCGACCAAGAUAUAAAGUGGUAGCACCACUCCCGGUUGAAACGUGCUUGAUACGAAACGAACUGAAAGGUGCAGGUCAGGAUGCCCCUAAUCCAUCAUCUGCCUUGCCAUUACCAAAGAAUGAUGAAGCCAAUAUCAUUACAGCAGAGAAAUACUUUCUUCCAUUUGAAUUGGCAUGUCAGAGCAGAUUGUCUUCAGAAACUCAUAGCUUAUGGACAUUAAGCUGGAAAUAUUCCUGUCUCAGCUACUCCAGGAAAAUAUCUUAUGUGUAUGUUUCGGUGGCCCACAAACAGAUGAAGGGGUUCAGUUACGAAUGAUAAAGGUAAUAGAAUUUAUAAAUUAAAUAAAUGUUUAAGUGUUGUGAUCCAUAACUGAUGAUCACUCAUUGCCCUGAUUAUGGAAGCAUAAGGAAAAUAUUGAGAAAUAUAGUUGUAUUUACCAUAGUAGAAAUAUACAUUGUACAGUGUU
Non-coding RNA from Zootermopsis nevadensis, 700 nucleotides. The record is from RefSeq and is a predicted model, not a curated record. NCBI's taxonomy places the organism in Eukaryota, Metazoa, Arthropoda, Insecta, Blattodea, Termopsidae.